Callithrix jacchus (white-tufted-ear marmoset) is the source of this 773-nucleotide long non-coding RNA. RefSeq lists it as uncharacterized. The record is from RefSeq and is a predicted model, not a curated record. Lineage: Eukaryota; Metazoa; Chordata; Mammalia; Primates; Cebidae.
AAUGACACAUUGGUUAAAAUAAACAGGAGCUAAAGUCAACAGUGCAUUCCAGGCCUCAGAGUAUGCUCUAGAGUCUCAAGACCAGAAAGAGGAUAAACAGGAGGAAUAAAAGACAGUUGUCAUCCAAUGGCAUUGCCGUUAGUUGUGGGAAGCAGACACCACCUAGGCAUAAAUGGACUCCAGUUCUGACACAUCCUUUCAGCUCCUUGCCUUCCAGUGUGAUAUUAGUCCAGCAGCCAAACAUGAAAGGACAUUAAAGAGGGAAAGACAAAGUCUGUGACGUCCUGAGUCUCUGGACUGGGAGAACGUGUUGCAUGGGGUAGGACACAGCUGCAACAGCCUGAAAAGCUGUUUUGGCUGAGGUCCCAGAAGACCUGAGUGGUUAGUUGUGCAACUCCCCCAAAUUUUCACAGAGGCACGUCCACAGGAGAGCUGCAGAUGGAAGACAGAGACCUCCACGUAAAUAUGUCCAAGCUGGCCUGCUGAGGGAUGGUAGGCCAUGGAGAGGAAAACCAAGGCACCCAGAAGGACAUUCUGCCAACUGCAAGAUGUUUGAAUGAGACCAUUCUGUCAGCCAGUCACCAGCCACCCAAUCAGCUAAUAAUAGAUGCAUGCAUAGGCUUCAGCGAGAUCAGCUGAGUUGUCCCAGGCUAGAAGAACAACCCAGAUCACCCACGGAAUUAUGAGAACAAUAAAAGGUUGUUUUCUUAAGCCACUAAGAUUUAGGGAGGUUUGUUUAAAAAAAAAAAAUUGAAGAGCACCUAAAAUAUUCC